RNAcentral lists this ribosomal RNA (715 nucleotides) under Alcanivorax sp. Its description in RNAcentral is "bacterial SSU rRNA". It matches the Rfam family "Bacterial small subunit ribosomal RNA", at positions 27 to 732 of the family's 1533-position model. The record is from RNAcentral. Lineage: Bacteria; Pseudomonadati; Pseudomonadota; Gammaproteobacteria; Oceanospirillales; Alcanivoracaceae.
GAUUGAACGCUGGCGGCAGGCCUAACACAUGCAAGACGAGCGGAAACGAUGGUKAGCUUGCUCCCAGGCGUCGAGCGGCGGACGGGUGAGUAACGCGUGAGAAUCUGCCCAUUUGUGGGGGAUAACUCGGGGAAACUCGAGCUAAUACCGCAUAAUCCCUACGGGGGAAAGCAGGGGACCUUCGGGCCUUGUGCAGAUGGAUGAGCUCGCGUCGGAUUAGCUUGUUGGUGAGGUAAAGGCUCACCAAGGCGACGAUCCGUAGCUGGUCUGAGAGGAUGAUCAGCCACACCGGGACUGAGACACGGCCCGGACUCCUACGGGAGGCAGCAGUGGGGAAUCUUGGACAAUGGGGGCAACCCUGAUCCAGCCAUGCCGCGUGUGUGAAGAAGGCCUUCGGGUUGUAAAGCACUUUCAGUAGGGAGGAAGGCUUACCGCUAAUAACGGUGAGUACUUGACGUUACCUACAGAAGAAGCACCGGCUAAUUUCGUGCCAGCAGCCGCGGUAAUACGAAAGGUGCGAGCGUUAAUCGGAAUUACUGGGCGUAAAGCGCGCGUAGGCGGUUUGUUAAGUCAGAUGUGAAAGCCCCGGGCUCAACCUGGGAAUUGCAUUUGAAACUGGCAGGCUAGAGUGCAGUAGAGGGAGGUGGAAUUUCCGGUGUAGCGGUGAAAUGCGUAGAGAUCGGAAGGAACACCAGUGGCGAAGGCGGCCUCCUGG